This 397-nucleotide ribosomal RNA is filed under the name Acanthamoeba genotype T4. RNAcentral's name for it is "SSU rRNA". It matches the Rfam family "Eukaryotic small subunit ribosomal RNA", at positions 784 to 1084 of the family's 1831-position model. Lineage: Eukaryota; Discosea; Longamoebia; Acanthamoebidae. The record is from RNAcentral.
AUUUUCUGCCACCGAAUACAUUAGCAUGGGAUAAUGGAAUAGGACCCUGUCCUCCUAUUUUCAGUUGGUUUUGGCAGCGCGAGGACUAGGGUAAUGAUUAAUAGGGAUAGUUGGGGGCAUUAAUAUUUAAUUGUCAGAGGUGAAAUUCUUGGAUUUAUGAAAGAUUAACUUCUGCGAAAGCAUCUGCCAAGGAUGUUUUCAUUAAUCAAGAACGAAAGUUAGGGGAUCGAAGACGAUCAGAUACCGUCGUAGUCUUAACCAUAAACGAUGCCGACCAGCGAUUAGGAGACGUUGAAUACAAAACACCACCAUCGGUGCGGUCGUCCUUGGCGUCGGUCUUUCGGGGCCGGCGCGGGGACGGCUUAGCCCGGUGGCACCGGUGAAUGACUCCCCUAGC